This 418-nucleotide ribosomal RNA is filed under the name uncultured eukaryote. Its description in RNAcentral is "SSU rRNA". It matches the Rfam family "Eukaryotic small subunit ribosomal RNA", at positions 592 to 1016 of the family's 1831-position model. The record is from RNAcentral.
CAAUAGCGUAUAUUUAAGUUGUUGCAGUUAAAAGCUCGUAGUUGGAUUUCGGAUGUGAACGACCGGUCCGCCGUUGCGGUGUGCACUGGACGUUCGUAUCUUGUUGUCGGGGACGCGCUCCUGGCCUUAACUGGUCGGGACGCGGAGUCGGCGCUGUUACUUUGAAAAAUUAGAGUGUUCAAAGCAGGCAACCGCUCUGAAUACAUUAGCAUGGAAUAACGCUAUAGGACUCUGGUCCUAUUGUGUUGGUCUUCGGGACCGGAGUAAUGAUUAAGAGGGACAGUUGGGGGCAUUCGUAUUUCAUUGUCAGAGGUGAAAUUCUCAGACCAAUGGAAGACGAACCACUGCGAAAGCAUUUGCCAGGGAUGUUUUCACUGAUCAAGAACGAAAGUUAGGGGAUCGAAGACGAUCAGAUACC